This 644-nucleotide ribosomal RNA is filed under the name Weissella cibaria. RNAcentral's name for it is "bacterial SSU rRNA". It matches the Rfam family "Bacterial small subunit ribosomal RNA", at positions 55 to 653 of the family's 1533-position model. Lineage: Bacteria; Bacillati; Bacillota; Bacilli; Lactobacillales; Lactobacillaceae. The record is from RNAcentral.
AUGCAAGUCGAACGCUUUGUGGUUCAACUGAUUUGAAGAGCUUGCUCAGAUAUGACGAUGGACAUUGCAAAGAGUGGCGAACGGGUGAGUAACACGUGGGAAACCUACUUCUUAGCAGGGGAUAACAUUUGGAAACAGAUGCUAAUACCGUAUAACAAUAGCAACCGCAUGGUUGCUACUUAAAAGAUGGUUCUGCUAUCACUAAGAGAUGGUCCCGCGGUGCAUUAGUUAGUUGGUGAGGUAAUGGCUCACCAAGACGAUGAUGCAUAGCCGAGUUGAGAGACUGAUCGGCCACAAUGGGACUGAGACACGGCCCAUACUCCUACGGGAGGCAGCAGUAGGGAAUCUUCCACAAUGGGCGAAAGCCUGAUGGAGCAACGCCGCGUGUGUGAUGAAGGGUUUCGGCUCGUAAAACACUGUUGUAAGAGAAGAAUGACAUUGAGAGUAACUGUUCAAUGUGUGACGGUAUCUUACCAGAAAGGAACGGCUAAAUACGUGCCAGCAGCCGCGGUAAUACGUAUGUUCCAAGCGUUAUCCGGAUUUAUUGGGCGUAAAGCGAGCGCAGACGGUUAUUUAAGUCUGAAGUGAAAGCCCUCAGCUCAACUGAGGAAUUGCUUUGGAAACUGGAUGACUUGAGUGCAGUA